RNAcentral lists this ribosomal RNA (253 nucleotides) under uncultured bacterium. RNAcentral's name for it is "partial 16S ribosomal RNA". It matches the Rfam family "Bacterial small subunit ribosomal RNA", at positions 524 to 776 of the family's 1533-position model. The record is from RNAcentral.
UACGGAGGAGGCAAGCGUUAUCCGGAAUUAUUGGGCGUAAAGCGUCCGCAGGUGGCACCUCAAGUCUGCUGUCAAAGACCGGGGCCUAACCCCAGAAAGGCAGUGGAAACUGAAGUGCUAGAGUGCAGUAGGGGUAGAGGGAAUUCCCGGUGUAGCGGUGAAAUGCGUAGAGAUCGGGAAGAACAUCGGCGGCGAAAGCGCUCUGCUGGACUGCAACUGACACUCAGGGACGAAAGCUAGGGGAGCGAAUGGG